This 45-nucleotide non-coding RNA is filed under the name Trichobilharzia regenti. The record is from RNAcentral. Lineage: Eukaryota; Metazoa; Platyhelminthes; Trematoda; Strigeidida; Schistosomatidae.
GUCCAGAUGAGGAGUCCCAAAUAGGACGAAAUGCGUAUCCUGGAU